CUUGCUCUCCUCCUCCCAUGUCCCCCUCAAAGUGUCUCCCUGAGGCCCCUUUGGCUCCGGCCCAGCAGCUGUGAGGUCCCUUACAGAGCUUAUCACCCCGUGAUUAUCUCCAGCACAGGGGAGCAGGUGUCUGCAGGCGUGGCUCAGCUCCUGCCUCUGAAAGAAAAGGAAAUCUGAGUCUCUGGGAAACCUUGGAGAGAAAGCAGAAAAAAUACCUCCUUUCAAGAGAAGAACCCAAAGGGACCCUUGUUCCACCAGAUUCCUUGACAGCUUCUCUGAAGCGAAGCUCUUUUUAAUAUAUUUUUAAAGAAAGACGAAGCCCCGGAGAAUGGCUGUGGGGGGCAGGUAGCAGUGGGUUCUAAAAGUCUUUCCCUGCUUGAAUCUCCGUUACUGAUUCUUUAUCAUGAAGGGAUUGGCCUCGACAAUCCCAAGUGGACGGUGUAUGGGCCUUGAAUUCUGGAUGCUUAGGUUGGGAAGAUGGAUUGGAAGGCUUCCUGGAGGAGGGCCUCUGUCCUGGGCUGCCCUCUCUACCUCCUGCUGACCAGCCAGCUCCAGCCCAGGUCAUUCAGAGAGACACCACAAAGGCUGCACCUGCAGAUGCCACCCAGGUCCAUCCUCUGGUCCCCUGAUUUCACACAGGAGGCAUCAGCCACGUGCCAGAGGUGGCAGCUCCUCAGAAGUACCGAAACCUCUGGCUUUUGGUGAGUUUUCACUGUGAUGACAUGAGAUCACUUGAGUAGGCGGGAGGGGAGUGGUUAAAAAUGCGGAUCUCGGCCGGGCGCGGUGGCUCACGCCUGUAAUACCAGCACUUUGGGAGGCCCAGGUGGGUGG
This 831-nucleotide long non-coding RNA is filed under the name Callithrix jacchus (white-tufted-ear marmoset). RNAcentral describes it as "lncRNA (ENSCJAG00000071166.1)". Lineage: Eukaryota; Metazoa; Chordata; Mammalia; Primates; Cebidae. The record is from RNAcentral.